UCGUUGUUUCCAGAGCCACCGCUCUAAUCGCUCCCUCCAGAAAAAGGCACCGCUUGACGUACCUAUAUAAAGGCUGCACCGCCACCGCCGCAGAACACUCAACCGCUGCUCCACCGCCGUCGCAAUCCGUCGUCGCACCACGUUCUCGGCAUCCACCACCGCUACCCCCCGACGUCCCCUGCACCCACGCCUACCCCCCCGCCCCCCCCUCCCCCACCACCGGCGGCUUGCGUGCUCCCCGCACGGCCUCCACCGAUGGCCUCAUCCGGUUUUCGUCCCGCUCCUCGGCUUCUCGAUGCCCCAACGUCGCCUCUCACCUCCGACCUCUUCCAGCGCUCUCCCCGUCCCCGUACGGCCUCCUCCAACGACCUCACUAACUAGGCCACCCUGGUUACUGUCGAUGGGAACUAUGGCAAGCGCCCACGGGGUUGGUGCUGACUUUAAGGACGAGGAGGCCUCGAGAAUACGGAGAUGUGGCCCGCCUGACCGCUCGAGCUUGCUGCUGUUUUUCCAGGAACCACCAGCGUAAGUCUUCACCUAUGGUCUGAUUGUAUAUUUUUAGUUACAUACAAAUUCUGCAGAUCUUUGUGAAUCAUCCCCUCUCGCGAGCAUCUCGAUGUUGUCUCGCAGGUCGCCUAGCAGCUCUGGCACAUGUGCAGGACGCGUCCCUGCCGUUCCCGUGCGACCAUGAAGCUGUGGAGGAUGCCCCCUUCCAUUAUGGAGAUGGUUUCUAUUUCGCUAGAGGGAGUUCCAUUUGUCGCCAAAAAAUUCUCAAUCCUUGGUGACAUGCUGUCAGCGAUCAUUUGGUGCUGAUGUUUCAACCUUGCCCCUAAUUUAUCCCUUGAUUUUCUCUUCCAGUGUAUGAGAUCUUGGGUGACUGCUAAUACGAUAGAAGAUGCGUAAAUAAUGUUUUAGUAAUGGAUGUUGGUUGCCUUUGUGAGAAGCUCUCAGGCUGUGUACAAGGAAACAGUAUGGUCGUAGGUGGUUAUCCUUGCAGCAGGCAUGAGCAUGGGGACAAAAACUAAUUGCAGGCCAGGGAGGUUAGUAUAAGGCAAGCUGUUUAAAUUUCCAUGAUGCAAACACCCAUCAAGUACUCAGUUGGGAUUUCAAAACCGGGAUAACUAAAUACUAGGAGAUGAUAGACAAUUUUCCAGGUAACUCUUGUGAUUUUUGAAUGUAGGACCUGAAUGGUUGAUGUGUGUAGCAGAAGAAUGCAGAGCGACUAAUUAUUUGAGAUAAUUUUUUAACCUCAAAUUGGAUAAUGUGGGAUAUUUUUCUUGUCCGUAACCAUGAGUAUUGGUUCAUCAUGGCUGCACUAAGAAGGCAAUGAACAUGAACCAAAUAAUUGAUCCGACUUAAUUUUGUUUCUUUGCUCUAUGUAUGGUAAGACGUCUCUGUCAUGCUUAUUCUUAACUGCCACAUUUAUGGACAAGAACUCAUAAGUCAGUUUAGUUCCUCUUUUCUGUUCUACACUUUCUUAUAGCGUUAAGGGCAUCGUGCGAUAGUUAGCAGAUACUUUUUGUGGUUGGUCAGGACAUCCUGCUACAUAGUUCGACCAUUUUAUUUAGUAUAAUUGAGAAACACGUCACUUGAUUUUUCUUUUAAAUUAUAUUGAUGAGACAAUAGAUCAGAAAUCCCAUUUAGAGCUCGGCCUCCAGUGAGGCCUCCAAAUUCAAAUUUGAAAUUUCAUCAAAAUUCAUAUUUUUACAUUUCAGAAAAUUCUGAAAAUAAAUACAGAUAUACAUGAAGGCAUAACACACAUGUGUGUAAAUUUUCAGUUCGGAAUACAUUGAAAUGAGGGUUGUGCAAAAAAACAAAUCUGGGGCUGUUUAACACACGAUACUAUUCAUCCUCCCAGGCCAUCAAUUUGUCUUUUUUGUACAGGUCACAACUCAAGGUAUUUCAUCAUAAAUUUUUACACACAUGUGGGUUACAUGCUUACAUGCAUGCAUAUUUCUUUUCAGAAUUUUUUGAACCAUAAAAGUUUGAAUUUGAAUUUUUCAAAAAUAAAGGCCUCUAUGGAGCUCGGCCUCCAAAAUGCCUCUCUCGACAAUAGAUUGGCUAUAUAGUGUAAGUUUGCAGCGUGACUGUGAGGUCUAUUGCCCCCUAAAAUUUCAUAUACUUCAGUUCUUUAAAUGAUGUUUAGAUAGAUGGAUUUUCGUUCAUUCAUUAUGCAUUUCAAUGUUAACUUCCUCACUACCCAUUAAUUUCCAAUGUUCAUAUGUGAAGACAUGCUCAUAUAUAUGCACUUCUACCUCUCACAUGGUUAACCAUUUUUUUGGAAUAGAAAGGCAUGAUGGAUAUUGUUUCAGUGUAGGUAUCGAGAAGUAACAUGUCAUGUGCAUCCUUAUCCUUGAGCUCAUUAUCUCCCAUUCGUUCAAGACAACAAGAUAAAGAAGUAACAUGUCAUGUGCAUCCAUUGAGAAAUAGUUCUGAAUUAGCCUACUGAAAACUAUUGUAGUAUAUAGUUUGAGGAGGAACAAUGUAUUGUGAAAAUUAGUGAUUUUUCACUAAUAGGACGAUUACUAAUUUGGAGUGUAAUUUCUUUCAAUUAUGCACUAACUGCUGAUCCUACUAUGCUGCUACAUGAGGUCUGGAACAAAAUUUUGUUUCUUAUGAA
Molecule: long non-coding RNA, 2620 nt
Organism: Triticum aestivum (bread wheat)
Lineage: Eukaryota; Viridiplantae; Streptophyta; Magnoliopsida; Poales; Poaceae
Exons: 4
Source: RefSeq, a predicted model, not a curated record